Molecule: long non-coding RNA, 336 nt
Filed under: Elaeis guineensis (African oil palm)
Lineage: Eukaryota; Viridiplantae; Streptophyta; Magnoliopsida; Arecales; Arecaceae
Description: long non-coding RNA (EGUI_LNC021839)
Source: RNAcentral
GACUAGACAUAAGCUAAUACUUUCUUACCUUAGGAUUUGAAAGUGUUUGUUUUAUAUCAAGCAUUUGCAGAUCGAUUAGCUUGAAUCUCGAUCCUAUAUGUAUUAUUUUGUAAGAUAACCCCAAAGAAUCUAGAAGAUAUAAUUUCUACCAUGCUCAAGAAUAAGAGUUGUUCGGCAUUCUUUUUUUUAAAAAAAGUACCUUGAUGAAAGAACUGAUGCCUCUAAUGUGAAACUUAUGAAGUUCGAUAGGUAAAAAAAUCGACACAAUCUAGUGAAUCUAUAGAAUCAAAUUUGAUUAGAUCAAACUCAAAAUCCAUUGUAGAGGCACCAUUAAGG